GUGGGUAUAGCUCAGAGGUAGAGCGCGUGCUUAGCAUGUGUGAGGUCCUGGGUUUAGAGCCCAGUACCUCCA
Molecule: transfer RNA, 72 nt
Filed under: Camelus bactrianus (Bactrian camel)
Lineage: Eukaryota; Metazoa; Chordata; Mammalia; Artiodactyla; Camelidae
Also listed under: 2 other names
Rfam family: tRNA
About the family: Transfer RNA (tRNA) molecules are approximately 80 nucleotides in length.
Source: Rfam by way of RNAcentral